Monomorium pharaonis (pharaoh ant) is the source of this 505-nucleotide long non-coding RNA. RefSeq lists it as uncharacterized. The record is from RefSeq and is a predicted model, not a curated record. The transcript is spliced from 3 exons. NCBI's taxonomy places the organism in Eukaryota, Metazoa, Arthropoda, Insecta, Hymenoptera, Formicidae.
GUCUGCGGGUCAGACGAAGGAGGAUCGAUACAGUUAUAUUGUUCCGUCACUAAAUGACGACGCGCCUCUCUCGCCCGCUUAAUCGAGGACAAUUCGUCGGAUAUUAAUUAGGAUCUUUUUAAAAGAGACAUUCUAUUGUACGUCCCCACUCUGCGAAUCGAAAAGUCAGCACGGAGUCUCCCUCGGCGAGCUCGAGUCGAUUUAUUGAAAUUGGAGAGAUUAGCAACAUAAAUGUUGGUACGAACCUUCUGGUGAGCUCGAGCCACGUGAUCGUGUAGGAAGCUGGCUCUUUCACGAUAAACUCCACGGCGAUAGUUCUGAUGGGGUCCUGUCCCGGUGCGAGGAUCAUCGCGUUGCUGCCGACGGCCCAACCGUCGCUGAACACCUCCACCACGUGGUGCCUGGAGUCAGCGAUCUCAACAGAUAAAAGUUAUUUCAGACGCCAGUGUUCAAAAGCUUUAAGAUACGAAGCUUCUCACGUUUACCUCGUCAUCGUCGAUCGGCG